RNAcentral lists this ribosomal RNA (75 nucleotides) under Prunus dulcis (almond). The record is from RNAcentral. Lineage: Eukaryota; Viridiplantae; Streptophyta; Magnoliopsida; Rosales; Rosaceae.
GGAUGCGAUCAUACCAACUCACAUACACCGGAUCGCAUCAGAACUCCGAAGUUAAGCGAGUUUGGACUGCCUCCU